This 253-nucleotide ribosomal RNA is filed under the name uncultured bacterium. RNAcentral describes it as "partial 16S ribosomal RNA". It matches the Rfam family "Bacterial small subunit ribosomal RNA", at positions 524 to 776 of the family's 1533-position model. The record is from RNAcentral.
GACGAGGGGUCCAAGCGUUGUUCGGAAUCAUUGGGCGUAAAGGGAGUGUAGGCUGUUAAGUAAGUCUUCUGUGAAAUCUACGGGCUUACCCCGUAACGUGCAGAGGAAACUGCUUAGCUUGAGUGUCGGAGAGGAUAGGGGAAUACCCGGUGUAGAGGUGAAAUUCGUAGAUAUUCGGAAGAACACCAGUGGCGAAGGCGGCUCACUGGACCGGUAUUGACGCUGAGGUGCGAAAGCGUGGGGAGCAAACAGG